GAUGAACGCUGGCGGCGUGCCUAAUACAUGCAAGUCGAGCGAACAGACGAGGAGCUUGCUCCUCUAACGUUAGCGGCGGACGGGUGAGUAACACGUGGAUAACCUACCUAUAAGACUGGGAUAACUUCGGGAAACCGGAGCUAAUACCGGAUAAUAUAUUGAACCGCAUGGUUCAAUAGUGAAAGACGGUUUUGCUGUCACUUAUAGAUGGAUCCGCGCCGCAUUAGCUAGUUGGUAAGGUAACGGCUUACCAAGGCAACGAUGCGUAGCCGACCGGAGAGGGUGAUCGGCCACACUGGAACUGAGACACGGUCCAGACUCCUACGGGAGGCAGCAGUAGGGAAUCUUCCGCAAUGGGCGAAAGCCUGACGGAGCGACGCCGCGUGAGUGAUGAAGGUCUUCGGAUCGUAAAACUCUGUUAUUAGGGAAGAACAAACGUGUAAGUAACUAUGCACGUCUUGACGGUACCUAAUCAGAAAGCCACGGCUAACUACGUGCCAGCCGCCGCCGUAA
RNAcentral lists this ribosomal RNA (513 nucleotides) under uncultured bacterium. RNAcentral describes it as "partial 16S ribosomal RNA". It matches the Rfam family "Bacterial small subunit ribosomal RNA", at positions 28 to 523 of the family's 1533-position model. The record is from RNAcentral.